ACCUGACCAGGGGUCGGACAAAAAGUGCGAAUGACGUCAAACCACUUAUAGGAUGAUUUCAAAUAGUAUUUUUGAUUUUCAUAAACAAUUAUCACGUAUCAUUUAUCAAUCUCUUUAUUGACCUCUUUAUUAAACGAUAUCGCCACUUGAAAUGAGUAAGUACGUUUUUGACUGACACAUUGUCAAUCAGAUGAACAGUCAGCGUCAAAUACUUCGUAGCAGUCAAAGUAGCCAAAUAGUUCGGUACACCAUAUAUUUAGUAUACUGACUGAACAAUAAAUUGUCUUCGUUAUUGUUUAGCUAUUGUAUCCUCACGAUUAUAUUUAGCUAAAAUUUAUAUUUACUAAUAUAUAAGAAAACGCUCUAAAAUGUCAUCUUUACUCGAAUAUUGUGGCAAUUUUCCGUUUUUGGAGGUACGUGACAAACACGUAUACUGAUAAUCUUACCUACUGUUCCCACUUUUGACUAUUAAACCUAUUUAUCUGAGGAUCCCACAGACUUGUUCUAACUAAUUUCAAAUAAUUAUACCUUAUGGUAACAAGUUUCGUGAAAUUUAUUUUAUUCACUACAUCACCCUACCACCUGUAUUAUUAAUUCCAUGGAUUUAUUUACGAUUAUUUUGUUACUUCAUUAAUACUACUUUGUUACUACAUGUGGUAGGGUGAUGUAGUGAAUAAAAUAAAUUUCACGAAACUUGUUACCAUAAGGUAUAAUUAUUUGAAAUUAGUUAGAACAAGUCUGUGAGAUUGCCACAAUAUUCGAGUAAAGAUGACAUUUUAGAGCGUUUUCUUAUACAUUAGUAAAUAUAAAUUUUAGCUAAAUAUAAUCGUGAAGAUACAAUAGCUAAACAAUAACGAAGUCAAUUUAUUGUUCAUCUGAUUGACAAUGUGUCAGUCAAAAACGUACUUACUCAUUUCAAGUGGCGAUAUCGUUUAAUAAAGAGGUUGAUAAAUGAUAAGUGAUAAUUGUUUAUGAAAAUCAAAAAUACUAUUUGAAAUCAUCCUAUAAGUGGUUUGACGUCAU
Molecule: long non-coding RNA, 1023 nt
Organism: Cydia pomonella (codling moth)
Lineage: Eukaryota; Metazoa; Arthropoda; Insecta; Lepidoptera; Tortricidae
Exons: 2
Source: RefSeq, a predicted model, not a curated record